AACGUAGGAGACAAGCGUUGUCCGGAAUUAUUGGGCGUAAAGGGCGUGUAGGUGGAUCUUUAAGUCGUGUGUCUAAGUGCGGAGCUCAACUCCGUAUGGGCGCAGGAAACUGGGGAUCUUGAGUGCAGGAGAGGAAAGUGGAAUUCCCAGUGUAGCGGUGAAAUGCGUAGAUAUUGGGAGGAACACCAGUGGCGAAGGCGACUUUCUGGACUGUGUCUGACACUGAGGCGCGAAAGCUAGGGGAGCGAACGGG
This 253-nucleotide ribosomal RNA is filed under the name uncultured bacterium. RNAcentral's name for it is "partial 16S ribosomal RNA". It matches the Rfam family "Bacterial small subunit ribosomal RNA", at positions 524 to 776 of the family's 1533-position model. The record is from RNAcentral.